AUGGUAGGAUCACAAGCUGAUGAGACUAAUUGGGAGAACUUGACGAACAAACAGCUACAUGAUAAAUUUCAGCAAAUGAUGAGUGGACAGGUGCAAGAUGUGCUAAACAGAUUUGACGAGGCCAUGGAGAAGGUAGAUGGCAUUGAGAAGACAUUCGAAACGAAGCUUGAUAGCAAGUUUAAUGAAUUGCUCGCACGUUUUCCACCACCACCGCCGGCUGCACCUAUCGCACCUCUGCAACAACAACAACAACGCCUCUUUCCGAAUCAAUAUGGACGAGCGAAGCGUGUUCCUAUUGAGGAUGGCCAAACUUCUGGUGCUGCUGUUCCUGUUGUUGAUGCUUCUUUGGCUCGUUCUACUGCGAGGAUGAGGUUGAUCAAAAUCCGAACUACGUGCAGCCACCAGCACCACCACCAGCAGGUCGACCUCAGGUAUAUAUUCGUAAUGGUAGGCCUGCACCACCACCUCAGGUACGAGAUGACGUCCAUAUUCCUAAACUGA
This 501-nucleotide ribosomal RNA is filed under the name Triticum aestivum (bread wheat). Its description in RNAcentral is "partial small subunit ribosomal RNA". The record is from RNAcentral. Lineage: Eukaryota; Viridiplantae; Streptophyta; Magnoliopsida; Poales; Poaceae.